Molecule: ribosomal RNA, 330 nt
Filed under: uncultured eukaryote
Lineage: Eukaryota
Description: partial 18S ribosomal RNA
Rfam family: Eukaryotic small subunit ribosomal RNA
Source: RNAcentral
CCCUUAGAUGUUCUGGGCCGCACGCGCGCUGCACUGAUGCAUUCAACGAGUCUAAAACCUGGUCUGAUAGGGCUGGGUAAUCUUUUGAAUGUGCAUCGUGAUUGGGAUAGAUGAUUGCAAUUCUUCAUCUUCAACGAGGAAUGCCUAGUAAACGCAAGUCAUCAGCUUGCAUUGAUUACGUCCCUGCCCUUUGUACACACCGCCCGUCGCUCCUACCGAUUGAAUGUUCCGAUGAAUACCAUGGACUGAGAGUAUGAAUGGGUUCGCCUAUUUCUGCUUCUCGGGAAGUGGAGUAAAUCUUAACAUUUAGAGGAAGGAGAAGUCGUAACA